GGUGACAGGUGGUGCAUGGUUGUCGUCAGCUCGUGUCGUGAGAUGUUGGGUUAAGUCCCGCAACGAGCGUAACCCUUGUCUUUAGUUGCCAUCAUUAAGUUGGGCACUCUAGAGAGACUGCCAGGGAUAACCUGGAGGAAGGUGGGGAUGACGUCAAAUCAUCAUGCCCCUUAUGCUUAGGGCUACACACGUGCUACAAUGGGUAGUACAGGGGGUUGCCAAGCCGUAAGGUGGAGCUAAUCCCUUAAAGCUACUCUCAGUUCGGAUUGUAGGCUGAAACU
RNAcentral lists this ribosomal RNA (281 nucleotides) under Clostridioides difficile. RNAcentral's name for it is "partial 16S ribosomal RNA". It matches the Rfam family "Bacterial small subunit ribosomal RNA", at positions 1030 to 1312 of the family's 1533-position model. Lineage: Bacteria; Bacillati; Bacillota; Clostridia; Peptostreptococcales; Peptostreptococcaceae. The record is from RNAcentral.